GAAAUGCGAUAAGUAAUGUGAAUUGCAGAAUUCCGUGAAUCAUCGAAUCUUUGAACGCACAUUUCGCCCUCUGGUAUUCCGGGGGGCAUGCCUGUCCGAGCGUCAUUGCGAACCCCUCAAGCACGGCUUGUGUGAUGGGCCCUCCCGCGUCUUGGUCGUCAAGACGGGCCCGAAAUGCAGUGGCGGCUUCGCGGUUAUCCGAUCAGCCAGAGCGUAUGGGGACUUUCUCUCUGUCACACGCCCGCGGCGCGGACCGACGCCUGUCAACCUUUAUUCAUCUUUUUCUCGGUUGACCUCGGAUCAGGUAGGGAUACCCGCUGAACUUAAGC
RNAcentral lists this unclassified non-coding RNA (329 nucleotides) under plant metagenome. Its description in RNAcentral is "partial contains 5.8S ribosomal RNA, internal transcribed spacer 2, and large subunit ribosomal RNA". The stretch from base 1 to 105 matches the Rfam family "5.8S ribosomal RNA", at positions 50 to 154 of the family's 154-position model. The record is from RNAcentral.